This 497-nucleotide ribosomal RNA is filed under the name uncultured bacterium. Its description in RNAcentral is "partial 16S ribosomal RNA". It matches the Rfam family "Bacterial small subunit ribosomal RNA", at positions 28 to 507 of the family's 1533-position model. The record is from RNAcentral.
GACGAACGCUGGCGGCGUGCCUAAUACAUGCAAGUUGAGCGCUGAAGGUUGGUACUUGUACCAACUGGAUGAGCAGCGAACGGGUGAGUAACGCGUGGGGAAUCUGCCUUUGAGCGGGGGACAACAUUUGGAAACGAAUGCUAAUACCGCAUAAAAACUUUAAACACAAGUUUUAGGUUUGAAAGAUGCAAUUGCAUCACUCAAAGAUGAUCCCGCGUUGUAUUAGCUAGUUGGUGAGGUAAAGGCUCACCAAGGCGAUGAUACAUAGCCGACCUGAGAGGGUGAUCGGCCACAUUGGGACUGAGACACGGCCCAAACUCCUACGGGAGGCAGCAGUAGGGAAUCUUCGGCAAUGGACGAAAGUCUGACCGAGCAACGCCGCGUGAGUGAAGAAGGUUUUCGGAUCGUAAAACUCUGUUGGUAGAGAAGAACGUUGGUGAGAGUGGAAAGCUCACCAAGUGACGGUAACUACCCAGAAAGGGACGGCUAACUACGUG